RNAcentral lists this ribosomal RNA (627 nucleotides) under uncultured bacterium. RNAcentral describes it as "bacterial SSU rRNA". It matches the Rfam family "Bacterial small subunit ribosomal RNA", at positions 116 to 737 of the family's 1533-position model. The record is from RNAcentral.
CAUCGGAACAUGUCCUGUAGUGGGGGGUAGCCCGGCGAAAGCCGGAUUAAUACCGCAUACGAUCUACGGAUGAAAGCGGGGGACCUUCGGGCCUCGCGCUAUAGGGUUGGCCGAUGGCUGAUUAGCUAGUUGGUGGGGUAAAGGCCUACCAAGGCGACGAUCAGUAGCUGGUCUGAGAGGACGACCAGCCACACUGGGACUGAGACACGGCCCAGACUCCUACGGGAGGCAGCAGUGGGGAAUUUUGGACAAUGGGCGAAAGCCUGAUCCAGCAAUGCCGCGUGUGUGAAGAAGGCCUUCGGGUUGUAAAGCACUUUUGUCCGGAAAGAAAUCCUUGGCUCUAAUACAGUCGGGGGAUGACGGUACCGGAAGAAUAAGCACCGGCUAACUACGUGCCAGCAGCCCCGGUAAUACGUAGGGUGCGAGCGUUAAUCGGAAUUACUGGGCGUAAAGCGUACGCAGGCGGUUUGCUAAGACCGAUGUGAAAUCCCCGGGCUCAACCUGGGAACUGCAUUGGUGACUGGCAGGCUAGAGUAUGGCAGAGGGGGGUAGAAUUCCACCGUGUAGCAGUGAAUAUGCGUAGAGAUGUGGAGGAAUACCGAUGGCGAAGGCAGCCCCCUGGGCCAA